RNAcentral lists this ribosomal RNA (253 nucleotides) under uncultured bacterium. RNAcentral's name for it is "partial 16S ribosomal RNA". It matches the Rfam family "Bacterial small subunit ribosomal RNA", at positions 524 to 776 of the family's 1533-position model. The record is from RNAcentral.
UACGGAGGGUGCAAGCGUUAUCCGGAUUCACUGGGUUUAAAGGGUGCGUAGGUGGGCUUGUAAGUCAGUGGUGAAAUCUCCGGGCUUAACUCGGAAACUGCCGUUGAUACUAUUUGUCUUGAAUAUCCUGGAGGUAGGCGGAAUAUGUCAUGUAGCGGUGAAAUGCUUAGAUAUGACAUAGAACACCGAUAGCGAAGGCAGCUUACUACAGGAUGAUUGACGCUGAGGCACGAAAGCGUGGGGAGCAAACAGG